RNAcentral lists this long non-coding RNA (650 nucleotides) under Equus caballus (horse). RNAcentral describes it as "lncRNA (ENSECAG00000027974.3)". The record is from RNAcentral. Lineage: Eukaryota; Metazoa; Chordata; Mammalia; Perissodactyla; Equidae.
CACAGACAAGACUAUCCAUCUCUCGCAUCUCUCCUGACCAUCAGACAUUCCCAUUUUCAUCUCUGCCCUUCCUGUGCUUGCCUUCUUCCCCGACAGAUGCGUCAUCUCUCUGCUCUUUUCCCCCCCGACACCGGUCUUCCUUUCUGAAUUUAAGCAUUUUUGCCGUGCCAUUUCUGCUCCCCUCACUUCACAUGUCUGCUCUCCUCCUCCUUCUUGACUUUCCCCAGGGCCCUGGAGUUGCUUUCUUUGGAGACAGUGUCUACUCGCUCUUUCUUUCCAGAGCUUUGGCCAGCUGGCCCCAGAAAUCCAUCAGUGGCCCAUCAGGGACCAGGCUAGCAGCUGUCACUCCCACCGUGGAAUUUAGUGCAUAAGAGAACUCAACUGAAGAAAUCAGAGAAGGAGGGAUUAUCUUCUGAGAAGCCCGGUUUCCAACUCCAGAGACAGUUGAAAAGACCGAAGUGGGGCCCUCCAUGUUGAGUCGUCAUCUGAACAAGUUGGAAUGGCUGUUAAGGACACUGGAUGUGUAAUUUCCUGCCGUAGCAAAUUGGAGGCUUCACACAGUCCUCUUGCUGUUGACCUGGUUAUAUUUUCCUGACUUGGUGCAGUCUUAAGAAGCAGUUGAAUUUGUCGAUUACGUUUGCUGGAGGGAG